GUUGGGUGAAUGUGCUGUUGCCU
This 23-nucleotide non-coding RNA is filed under the name Cricetulus griseus (Chinese hamster). The record is from RNAcentral. Lineage: Eukaryota; Metazoa; Chordata; Mammalia; Rodentia; Cricetidae.